UGAGGGAAUAUUGGGUCAAUGGGCGAGAGCCUGAACCAGCCAAGUAGCGUGCAGGAUGACGGCCCUAUGGGUUGUAAACUGCUUUUAUAAGGGAAUAAAGUGAGUCUCGUGAGACUUUUUGCAUGUACCUUAUGAAUAAGGACCGGCUAAUUCCGUGCCAGCAGCCGCGGUAAUACGGAAGGUCCGGGCGUUAUCCGGAUUCAUUGGGUUUAAAGGGUGCGCAGGCGGGUCUGUAGGCCCGUGGUGAAAGCCUGGUGCUCAACGCCAGAGGUGCCGCGGGAACUGCAGGUCUUGAGUCGUGACGAGGGCGGCGGAAUGCGAAGUGUAGCGGUGAAAUGCUUAGAUAGUUCGCAGA
RNAcentral lists this ribosomal RNA (355 nucleotides) under uncultured Prevotella sp. RNAcentral's name for it is "bacterial SSU rRNA". It matches the Rfam family "Bacterial small subunit ribosomal RNA", at positions 354 to 705 of the family's 1533-position model. Lineage: Bacteria; Pseudomonadati; Bacteroidota; Bacteroidia; Bacteroidales; Prevotellaceae. The record is from RNAcentral.